Molecule: ribosomal RNA, 95 nt
Filed under: Ferruginibacter sp.
Lineage: Bacteria; Pseudomonadati; Bacteroidota; Chitinophagia; Chitinophagales; Chitinophagaceae
Description: partial 16S ribosomal RNA
Rfam family: Bacterial small subunit ribosomal RNA
Source: RNAcentral
UUUACAAUGGAGAGUUUGAUCCUGGCUCAGGAUGAACGCUAGCGGCAGGCUUAAUACAUGCAAGUCGAGGGGGAUUAGUUGUCUAGCAAUAGAUG